RNAcentral lists this ribosomal RNA (495 nucleotides) under uncultured bacterium. Its description in RNAcentral is "partial 16S ribosomal RNA". It matches the Rfam family "Bacterial small subunit ribosomal RNA", at positions 28 to 505 of the family's 1533-position model. The record is from RNAcentral.
GAUGAACGCUGGCGGCGUGCCUAAUACAUGCAAGUCGAGCGAACAGACGAGGAGCUUGCUCCUCUGACGUUAGCGGCGGACGGGUGAGUAACACGUGGAUAACCUACCUAUAAGACUGGGAUAACUUCGGGAAACCGGAGCUAAUACCGGAUAAUAUAUUGAACCGCAUGGUUCAAUAGUGAAAGACGGUUUUGCUGUCACUUAUAGAUGGAUCCGCGCCGCAUUAGCUAGUUGGUAAGGUAACGGCUUACCAAGGCGACGAUGCGUAGCCGACCUGAGAGGGUGAUCGGCCACACUGGAACUGAGACACGGUCCAGACUCCUACGGGAGGCAGCAGUAGGGAAUCUUCCGCAAUGGGCGAAAGCCUGACGGAGCAAAGCCGCGUGAGUGAUGAAGGUCUUCGGAUCGUAAAACUCUGUUAUUAGGGAAGAACAAAUGUGUAAGUAACUAUGCACGUCUUGACGGUACCUAAUCAGAAAGCCACGGCUAACUACG